Molecule: ribosomal RNA, 441 nt
Filed under: uncultured bacterium
Lineage: Bacteria
Description: partial 16S ribosomal RNA
Rfam family: Bacterial small subunit ribosomal RNA
Source: RNAcentral
CCUACGGGAGGCAGCAGUGGGGAAUAUUGCACAAUGGGGGCAACCCUGAUGCAGCAACGCCGCGUGAAGGAAGACGGUUCUCGGAUUGUAAACUUCUGUUUUUAGUGAAGAAUAAUGACGGUCGCUUAGGAGCAAGCAACGGCUAACUAGGUGCCAGCAGCCGCGGUACUACGUAGGGGGCAAGCGUUGUCCGGAAUUACUGGGUGUAAAGGGAGCGCAGGCGGGAAGACAAGUCAGCUGUGAAAGCUACGGGCUUAACUUGUAGACUGCAGUUGAAACUGGUUUUCUUGAGUGAAGUAGAGGUUGGCGGAAUUCGGGGUGUAGCGGUGAAAUGCGUAGAUAUUCGGAGGAACUCCGGUGGCGAAGGCGGCCAACUGGGCUUUAACUGACGCUGAGGCUCGAAAGUGUGGGGAGCAAACAGGAUUAGAUACCCGGGUAGUC